GAUGAACGCUGGCGGCGUGCUUAACACAUGCAAGUCGAACGGAAAGGCUCCUGCUUGCCGGGGUACUCGAGUGGCGAACGGGUGAGUAACACGUGGGUGUUCUGCCCUGCACUUCGGGAUACGCCUGGGAAACUGGGUCUAAUACCGGAUAGGACGGUGGUUUGGAUGCCAUUGUGGAAAGUUUUUUCGGUGUGGGCUGGUGUCGCGGGCUAUCAGCUUGUUGGGGGGGGAGUGGCACACCAAGGCGUAGCCGGGUAGCCGACCUGGGGAGGUGGACAGCCACAAUGGUACUAAGGGAGGGCGCAGACGGCUACUGUAGGCAGCAGGGGGGAAUAUUGCACAAUGGGCGCAAGCCUGAGGCAACGGCGCCGGGUUGGGAAUGACGGCCUGCGGGUUGUAAACACCUUUCGCUAGAGACGAAGCGCAAGUGACGGUACCUGGAGAAGAAGCACCGGCUAACUACGUG
This 466-nucleotide ribosomal RNA is filed under the name uncultured bacterium. Its description in RNAcentral is "partial 16S ribosomal RNA". It matches the Rfam family "Bacterial small subunit ribosomal RNA", at positions 28 to 507 of the family's 1533-position model. The record is from RNAcentral.